UGGGGAAUUUUGGACAAUGGGCGAAAGCCUGAUCCAGCAAUGCCGCGUGUGUGAAGAAGGCCUUCGGGUUGUAAAGCACUUUUGUCCGGAAAGAAAUCCUUGGCUCUAAUACAGUCGGGGGAUGACGGUACCGGAAGAAUAAGCACCGGCUAACUACGUGCCAGCAGCCGCGGUAAUACGUAGGGUGCAAGCGUUAAUCGGAAUUACUGGGCGUAAAGCGUGCGCAGGCGGUUUGCUAAGACCGAUGUGAAAUCCCCGGGCUCAACCUGGGAACUGCAUUGGUGACUGGCAGGCUAGAGUAUGGCAGAGGGGGGUAGAAUUCCACGUGUAGCAGUGAAAUGCGUAGAGAUGUGGAGGAAUACCGAUGGCGAAGGCAGCCCCCUGGGCCAAUACUGACGCUCAUGCACGAAAGCGUGGGGAGCAAAACAGGAUUAGAUACCCUGGUAGUCCACGCCCUAAACGAUGUCAACUAGUUGUUGGGGAUUCAUUUCCUUAGUAACGUAGCUAACGCGUGAAGUUGACCGCCUGGGGAGUACGGUCGCAAGAUUAAAAACUCAAAUGAAUUGACGGGGUCAUAGCUGUUUCCU
Molecule: ribosomal RNA, 587 nt
Filed under: uncultured bacterium
Lineage: Bacteria
Description: partial 16S ribosomal RNA
Rfam family: Bacterial small subunit ribosomal RNA
Source: RNAcentral